AACAAGGUAAAUAUCAGGUUGUUUCCUGUAUUCGAUCGAAACAUCUGUAUAUACCUUUGUUC
Molecule: microRNA precursor, 62 nt
Filed under: Drosophila melanogaster (fruit fly)
Lineage: Eukaryota; Metazoa; Arthropoda; Insecta; Diptera; Drosophilidae
Description: Dme-Mir-963-v2_pre stem-loop
Source: RNAcentral